Dictyocaulus viviparus (bovine lungworm) is the source of this 71-nucleotide non-coding RNA. The record is from Rfam. Lineage: Eukaryota; Metazoa; Nematoda; Chromadorea; Rhabditida; Metastrongylidae.
GGAUCAUUGGCUCAGGCGCAGAGCGUUGUCUAGUAAACAGAAGGUCUCUGGUUCGAUUCCAGCAUGAGGCA